GAACAACUUUGGACACUCCCCAACAAGUAAUCAGAUAGAUCUCGAGACAUCACCUCCAAAUGGCGUUCAUUAAGUUUGACGUGACAUGACACUCGGCAGUGACCUUUCCCAAAUACUACUUUUCGAAAAUCUAUUUUUCUUAAAACUUUUCCUUCAUGUUUCAUUUAUUUUGCACAAAAAUAUUUUGUCUUAUCUACCAAGAAGCGGGAGAUCGGAGAAAUCAACCGGAGAUAGCAAGACAAAAAGUAGACA
Molecule: long non-coding RNA, 252 nt
Filed under: Solanum tuberosum (potato)
Lineage: Eukaryota; Viridiplantae; Streptophyta; Magnoliopsida; Solanales; Solanaceae
Description: long non-coding RNA (STUB_LNC000523)
Source: RNAcentral